This 447-nucleotide ribosomal RNA is filed under the name uncultured bacterium. RNAcentral describes it as "bacterial SSU rRNA". It matches the Rfam family "Bacterial small subunit ribosomal RNA", at positions 329 to 793 of the family's 1533-position model. The record is from RNAcentral.
UACCAGACUCCUACGGGAGGCAGCAGUGGGGAAUAUUGCACAAUGGGGGAAACCCUGAUGCAGCGACGCCGCGUGAGCGAUGAAGUAUUUCGGUAUGUAAAGCUCUAUCAGCAGGGAAGAAGAUGACGGUACCUGACUAAGAAGCCCUGGCUAACUACGUGCCAGCAGCCGCGGUAAUACGUAGGGGGCAAGCGUUAUCCGGAUUUACUGGGUGUAAAGGGAGCGUAGACGGCGAUGCAAGCCAGAUGUGAAAGCCCGGGGCUCAACCCCGGGACUGCAUUUGGAACUGUGUGGCUGGAGUGUCGGAGAGGCAGGCGGAAUUCCUAGUGUAGCGGUGAAAUGCGUAGAUAUUAGGAGGAACACCAGUGGCGAAGGCGGCCUGCUGGACGAUGACUGACGUUGAGGCUCGAAAGCGUGGGGAGCAAACAGGAUUAGAUACCCCAGUAC